GAUGAACGCUAGCUACAGGCUUAACACAUGCAAGUCGAGGGGCAGCACAGUGUAGCAAUACAUGGGUGGCGACCGGCGCACGGGUGCGUAACGCGUAUCCAACCUUCCCGUUACUCUUGGAUAGCCUUCCGAAAGGGAGAUUAAUACAAGAUGGUAUUCAAAUUCCGCAUGUUAUUUGAAUUAAAGAUUAAUCGGUAACGGAUGGGGAUGCGUGACAUUAGAUAGUAGGCGGGGUAACGGCCCACCUAGUCUACGAUGUCUAGGGGUUCUGAGAGGAAGGUCCCCCACACUGGAACUGAGACACGGUCCAGACUCCUACGGGAGGCAGCAGUGAGGAAUAUUGGUCAAUGGGCGGGAGCCUGAACCAGCCAAGUCGCGUGAGGGAAGACGGCCCUACGGGGUUGUAAACCUCUUUAGUCGGGGAGCAAAAAGGCCACGCGUGGUCCAUUGAGCGUACCCGAAGAAUAAGCAUCGGCUAACUCCGUG
This 486-nucleotide ribosomal RNA is filed under the name uncultured bacterium. RNAcentral describes it as "bacterial SSU rRNA". It matches the Rfam family "Bacterial small subunit ribosomal RNA", at positions 28 to 507 of the family's 1533-position model. The record is from RNAcentral.